Molecule: ribosomal RNA, 366 nt
Filed under: uncultured bacterium
Lineage: Bacteria
Description: bacterial SSU rRNA
Rfam family: Bacterial small subunit ribosomal RNA
Source: RNAcentral
ACGGAAUAGAUACCCAGGUAGUCCACGCCCUAAACGAUGUCUACUAGUUGUUGGUGGAGUAAAAUCCAUGAGUAAACGCAGCUAAACGCGUGAAGUAGACCGCCUGGGGAGUACGGUCGCAAGAUUAAAACUCAAAUGAAUUGACGGGGGCCCGGCACAAGCGGUGGAUUAUGUGGAUUAAUUCGAUGCAACGCGAAAACCUUAACCUGGCCGUUGACAUGUAACGAACUUUCCAGAGAUGGAUUGGUGCUCGAAAGAGAACGUUAACACAGGUGCUGCAUGGCUGUCGUCAGCUCGUGUCGUGAGAUGUUGGGUUAAGUCCCGCAACGAGCGCAACCCUUGCCAUUAAUUGUCCAUCAUUUAGUU